ACUCUGGGGCUAUACUUCUAUAUGGUUUCUCUGUGAUUUCUUGAUGGUGGUGCCUCAUCCACUGUACAUGUGGCAUACACGGUCACUCGGUUCUAAUGAGGAUGUAUCAUCUCCUGAAAUCACACUUAUUGGAUGUAUGUAGCCAUCCAAUUUGCAUCCAACAUAUGCCUAAGAGGAAAAAUGGUCAAAUGUCCAAAUUAAUUGGAUGUAUGGGUAAGAUCAGUCACUCGGUGUGAUUUUUGGGAUUUGUUGUACCCACAGUGGGGCUGACUAUUUUGGUGGUUGGCAUUGAAAUACAUAUACACCACAUUCCACGUGUAUGGUGGAUGAGUAACCGCCAUCCAACAAGUGUGGAGGUCAUGCAGUGGUUUAGUUUCACUCAUCUUACAUUGGCCUCUCAUAUAUACAUAUCACUCACUAAUUUCUUAGGUUUUUCAGGUGGACUGCCUUGUAUGUAGCUACUGUUUUUGUUACAUUGGUUCAAUAGAACUUCAGAUUGGUAGGAAACUCUAUUUGCAAUCUCUAGGAUUACCAACAAAUACAAAACAUGAUCAGGAGACAUCUUCAUAGAUGCCAAAGCGCUUCAUUGUUGUAUGAAUCAUCAAGUAUCCAGUGUUAGAUGCUAAUAUCUUAGUUAUGUCAGAUUGCUGAAGCUGCAUGUUGAAUUCUAAUCUUGAAGGCUUUAGAACCUGAGCCCUCCUUCCACCAACAUAUCCAUCACCAUUUGGCAUUCUUGCCAGACAUUGCAUCAAGCCUUGUGUCACCCCAUUUGCACAUGAGCCAUGUCCACUAGUGCAGGGUGACAGUUGCAUUGCCUUAGCAUCGGAAAUGGUAAGAAGGCAAGCUUUAUUUCUAGGUGACUCGGAGCUGCAACAAAUGCUUCACAUCUUCAGGUACUUGUUGAAUAUUGAGUUGCAAAUUUUACUUUUGAAAAUGAUGCUGAAUGAGAUUGACUUUACUUAUGAACUUUCUUGUUGGUCAUUUUAUAUGUGUUGGUAGCCAACGCCCAAUUCCUAUGGACAACAUUGGAGUGGCCUGGCCAUUUGGACAGGUCGUGUUUAUGUAUUUGCUCAAAAUUAAUGGAGCAGACCCGGAUGUGCGUUGGAGCUAUCCGGAUGAGCGGGGGUCCCUAUAAGGUGGGAACUGCUGUUAUGACCAUGAUGAAG
Long non-coding RNA from Magnolia sinica, 1166 nucleotides. RefSeq lists it as uncharacterized. The record is from RefSeq and is a predicted model, not a curated record. Lineage: Eukaryota; Viridiplantae; Streptophyta; Magnoliopsida; Magnoliales; Magnoliaceae. The transcript has 4 exons.